RNAcentral lists this long non-coding RNA (228 nucleotides) under Prunus persica (peach). RNAcentral's name for it is "long non-coding RNA (PPER_LNC004168)". Lineage: Eukaryota; Viridiplantae; Streptophyta; Magnoliopsida; Rosales; Rosaceae. The record is from RNAcentral.
AAAAUUCGAACCUGUGACUAUUAAUCUACAAGUUAGAGCACUUCCAGCAGUUUGCCUUUUGCCAUGGCAAGGGGGGCUAGGGCAGUUACUAUUCACGUGAAUAGUGGCUACUCUUGCAAAAAACAAUGUGUGUUUCCAGCAAUUGCCCUUUGCCAUGACAAAUACUAUUCUUUUUUUAUUUUUUUCACAAAUGUUUUUACCUAAACAAUUAAUUUGGAUAAGAUUUUC